Long non-coding RNA from Esox lucius (northern pike), 842 nucleotides. RefSeq lists it as uncharacterized. NCBI's taxonomy places the organism in Eukaryota, Metazoa, Chordata, Actinopteri, Esociformes, Esocidae. The transcript is spliced from 3 exons. The record is from RefSeq and is a predicted model, not a curated record.
GACAGAGAGUAGAGAGCGGAACAGAGCAGAGCUGGAGACACAGAGGGAGCUCGGCCUGAUAGCAGAAGUACCGACGGAAAUGGACAGACCAGGAUGGAAGAUGAGAGAGGGAGGCCAGCGGACCCAGAGACGGGACUCACACAGAGACAGAGUGAAUUCAACAUCGUUGCCACAAGAAGGGUGCCUCUGAAGGGGAGCACUGAACAGCGUGACGUGACAUGAUGUACAUAAUGACAUCAGGGAUAGAUUUUAAACAAACAAUACAUGUUAUCAAACGGUUUUCAAGAGCUGAAAGUAACGGUUGUGUUUGCGUUACUUGGAAAAUGUUGUCAGUUUUUGUGUUUUAUUGCCUGAAUCCCUUGAGUGUGGGAUAUAUGUGUGUCUGAGAAGUGUGCGAAAUUCACAUGGGGCAUGUGUGUGAGAAGUGUGCGUAAUGCGCAUGGGGCAUGUGUGUGAGAAGUGUACGUAAUGCGCAUGGGGCAUGUGUGUGAGAAGUGAGCGUAAUGCGCAUGGGGCAUGUGUGUGAGUGUGAAGAUCAUUUGAUUUUGACAGCAGAUGUUGAGUGACCUGAACAGCAACCCUAUUAGAGACUGAGUCUGACUAUGACAGGUUGUGGAAUCUUGGGGCUCCUUGCACAGAAAGGAACACACAUGUCACACCGCAUGCCAGCAAGCACACACAUACACACACACACACAUGCGCCAGUACACCACCAUGGACAAGCCACACCGAACAGACACACACAAGAUGACAUUUCAGUCAUUUAGCAACUUCAAGUGAGGGCAUACAUUUCAAGAUGAAUAGGUGGAGCUACUCAGUAGGAGUAGGGAUCUGUGAGCUUA